AGAGUUUGAUUAUGGCUCAGGAUGAACGCUGGCGGCGUGCUUAACACAUGCAAGUCGAACGGAGUUAGAUGAAACCUAGUGAUUCUAAACUUAGUGGCGGACGGGUGAGUAACGCGUGGGUAACCUGCCAUAUACAGGGGGAUAACACUUAGAAAUAGGUGCUAAUACCGCAUAAGCGCACAGGACCGCAUGGUCUGGUGUGAAAAACUCCGGUGGUAUAUGAUGGACCCGCGUCUGAUUAGCUAGUUGGUGAGGUAACGGCCCACCAAGGCGACGAUCAGUAGCCGGCCUGAGAGGGUGAACGGCCACAUUGGGACUGAGACACGGCCCAAACUCCUACGGGAGGCAGCAGUGGGGAAUAUUGCACAAUGGGGGAAACCCUGAUGCAGCGACGCCGCGUGAGUGAAGAAGUAUUUCGGUAUGUAAAGCUCUAUCAGCAGGAAAGAAAAUGACGGUACCUGACUAAGAAGCCCCGGCUAACUACGUGCCAGCCGCCGC
This 498-nucleotide ribosomal RNA is filed under the name uncultured bacterium. Its description in RNAcentral is "bacterial SSU rRNA". It matches the Rfam family "Bacterial small subunit ribosomal RNA", at positions 8 to 518 of the family's 1533-position model. The record is from RNAcentral.